This 578-nucleotide long non-coding RNA is filed under the name Callithrix jacchus (white-tufted-ear marmoset). RNAcentral's name for it is "lncRNA (ENSCJAG00000079593.1)". The record is from RNAcentral. Lineage: Eukaryota; Metazoa; Chordata; Mammalia; Primates; Cebidae.
UCAGACUCAUCACUCAUUAUCUUCAACCACAUGAGAAACCCAGAGCGAGAACCACCCAGCCAAGGCCAAUCUCUAGAACUUCAAAAGCUUUCGGAUCAUCAACUGACAUAGGGGAAGAAGACUUCCAUAGGAUGCUCAACCACCACCCAAGAUCAUGGAACUCCCCAUGAGGCCUUUGUUGCAGGCUGAGGGAGAGAAGGCAGGAUGGCAUAAGUGGAGUGUUUGAGCCACCUCUUCAGGUAAGUUACUUGUGCCUUUGGGACCUGCUCGAGCCCCAACAUAUAUAUACCACUUCCAUUUGAUGAUAGAAUGUUGCUGUGCAUGACUCAAUUUAUGGCUAGACAGGUCAGGAAGCGACCAGUCCAUGAUAGGCAGUUCAGGUAACAUGGUUGCUUGAUGACCCACAGUCAAAAUUCAGUUUUCCAGAAAAUCCAGUAACAGGUCAAGAGCUGUCUCUCAAAAGGAGAGUAAUUAUCUGCAGAAGAUGGCAGAUCUAGAGGCCUCUGGUGUGAUUCACCUAUGACAGCCUGCCAAAGGCUCCAAACAGCAUCUGUAUUUGCCACUGAGACCAGAAGCAG